This is an RNA transcript of Aquila chrysaetos chrysaetos, 7517 nucleotides long. It is a transcript of the gene named zinc finger DHHC-type palmitoyltransferase 20, with no coding region annotated. NCBI's taxonomy places the organism in Eukaryota, Metazoa, Chordata, Aves, Accipitriformes, Accipitridae. The record is from RefSeq and is a predicted model, not a curated record. The transcript has 16 exons.
AGAAGGUGUUGGCCUGGGUGCCCGUGGCCUUCAUCGCCCUGGUCGUGGCCUGGUCCUACUACGCCUACGUGGUGGAGCUCUGUGUGUGAAUUCAGUGUCUAAGGAAGAGAUCCAGCGAGGGGAGUGAUAUGAAGAAAGCAACCUAAUAAGUAGAGCAGCUCUCUGUUCAGCAUCUUACCUGAACUGAUGAAGGAAGUGUGAAGGUUUUGGAGAAGCCUGACGGCAGGAGGAGGUACUCCUAGUCGGGCAGUAUACAAGUUACUAUUUCUUCAACUGCAGAAAAAGAGGGCUGUCUUCAGAGCGUGAGACCACUGUUGUCUACCUUGUGGUUUUUCAUCUGUCAUUUGUCAUGUUUGUAUGGUCCUAUUGGAAGACAAUUUUCACAUCUCCUGCAUCCCCCUCUAAUGAGGCUUCGCUGAAGUUGCUUUCAAUACAGCUCAUGGAUGUUGAGACUAGUGCUGACAACUCCGAAUUCUGCUUGUCAAAAGCUGAUAAAGAACAAUAUGAAAAAGAAGAGAGACCAGAAUCCCAGCAGGAAAUUUUGAGAAGAGCUGCUAAAGACUUGCCUAUCUAUACGACAACAGCAUCGAGAGCCAUCAGAUACUGUGAUCGAUGCCAGCUAAUCAAACCUGACCGCUGCCACCACUGUUCUGCAUGUGACAUAUGUGUACUAAAAAUGGACCACCACUGUCCAUGGGUGAAUAAUUGUGUGGGAUUUUCUAACUACAAAUUCUUCCUCCUGUUUUUAAUGUAUUCCUUACUGUACUGUCUGUUUGUUGCUGCUACAGUCUUGCAGUACUUCAUAAAGUUUUGGACACUUUGCCGCAGGAAAGCUGCAGAGAAUUGUCCAAAGAAUGAAUUGCCAGAUACCCAUGCAAAAUUCCACGUACUAUUCCUUUUCUUUGUGGCAGCCAUGUUCUUCAUCAGCAUACUGUCACUCUUCAGCUACCACUGCUGGCUAGUUGGCAAAAACAGAUCAACCAUAGAAACAUUCCGUGCACCCACAUUUCGAAAUGGCCCUGAUAAAAAUGGCUUUUCUCUUGGAUGCAGCAAAAAUCUGAGGGAGGUUUUCGGAGAUGAAAAGAAGUAUUGGCUACUCCCUAUCUUUACCAGUUUGGGCGACGGGUGUAACUUUCCGACUCGUUUGGUGAUUAUGGAUCCAGAGCAACUUACUGUCUCAAGCCAAAGUGAACCUGCCAAAAGCUCUGGAGGCAGUCAGUCCUUUCCUACUCGACCACUCAGUGAAUCACAAAAUCGAUUGCUAGCCAGUGACAGUCAGUGGGUGGAAAGUGGCCCUGAAGAGGAAAAUGUUAAAUCAGGUAACCUGCACCGUAACACUUCCGUUGAUUCUAUGGUUUUGUUUGUGGUGGGUUUUUCCAUUUUCUUUUAGGCCUAAAAAGUCCUUAGGAAUUGGUUGGAGUUAAGUAGAAGAAAAUUUGUUCCAUAGAAUCAAGACAGCAUGUUUAGAAGUUAAGGCUAACUUGUCUCAUGCUCUGCUCCAAAAUGAGUUACUACACUAAGGUAAUGCAUAGAUAAUUCUCACUUUCGCACUUCCUGUUCUGAGAUUUUGGAUCUUUUUACAUUUGAUUAGGGGGAGGAAAAUAUUUUUCUAAAAUAGGCACAACACAAUAAAUGUGCUUUCUGGUUUGAAGUCUUUGCUAUUUGUUGUGCAAAUCUGCAAAAACACAUAAUUGAGAUUCUCUCACAUUUCAGGUGCAAAAAAGCAUAUUAUAGUUUCAUUGGAAAGCUGAUCUCAGCUUAUUACUAACCAACCAUCUCAAUGAGAAACAGGUUUCUGCAACACAUUUUGUGCUUGAAUAUUACUUAAUUUUGUUUGGAAGAAGUUAUCAGUAAAAAAUGGAACAUGAACAUUUUAGGAAGAGACAAGAAAUUUAAGUUUCUGCACAGUACGAUGGAUUCUUGUAAGCACUAUUGCAGAGCAGGGGAGUUAAGACAGAUGCCUUAAGAUUCUUAACGUGCAUUUAUGCAACACUGAAUUAUAUACUGCUACCAAAGGGCCAAAUCCUGAAGUGCCCUGCUUGGAUGCACAAGGUCCAGAGUGGGAACUAUGCAUUUCUGUAUGCUGCAGUGAUGGGGGUAGAUUGCAGAGACUACCUCCCCACAGGCAAACUUCAUACCUUAGGCACUGCAGAAGUCACUUCCAUAGCAGGUCUCCAGGAUACAGAAAGAAAGAAAAAAGGAAAAGAGAAAAAGAAAAGAAAAAAAAAAAAACGGGGAGGGGGGGAGAAAAUCAACAUAGAGCAUGGCCAGUGAGUCUGAAGUGCAACUAUACAUAGUUCAAGCACCAGGUGAUGGGGAAUGGACUGGAUGGUGUCUUCUCCCCACCUUCCUAUUAGCCAGUCUACCCCAUGAUCACAGCUCUCCAAGUCUUUUGGGACUGAGGAUUCCUUCUACUAGCUGUGCUUUGGAGCAAGGCAAUGCCAACAACAUAAAAGCCUUUUACUUGGGUUUUUUUGCUAUAGGAUCGAGCCCCCUCAUUGGUGUAACUUGAUAUAUGUAACCAUAUCAAGAACAGAGCUCAAAGAAGCAAACUCCAUUUUUUAGUUGAAAAAAGCAUGGAUUAUUACUUUCCAACAAUUGUCUAUCAGCAUACAAAGAAAAGCCAAUCUAAAAAGGAAUUAACAACUGUUAUAUUUUCUGUUAGUCUGCAGUGUUCUGUACGAGGCAGUAACAAAAUGGUAAAGUACCCCUGAGAAAAACCUUAUUGCAGUUGUGUGUUGUUAGAAAAUGGAACUGGAAGAGUACUGCUUUUUCUAUGGGACUCUUGAUGGUUUAUAAAUACUGUUUUAUAGUUUUGUUUUAUCUUUUUAAUAAAGGCACAAGUUUUUAUUGGUUCUAAAGUACCAUUUAAACCAAUAUCAAGUACUUACAAGAAAAUUAGUGUUGGAUCAUACAUCUGGUUAACACACUGAGAAUUUGUAUGCUUUAGUCUGCCACUUUCAAGUCCAGUUUAAGUGAUGCUGAAAUUGCUAAAGAUUGAGUACUUUGUGCAGUGAUGUACCUGUUCACAAAAGGCAAAAUGUGUUUCCUGUGUGAGGAAUAAAGUCCAUCCUAAGCUCAAGACCUACAGCAAACAAUAUGGGGUUUUUUUUCCCCCUCACUCCUCUAUAGAGAAGACUGCUAACUCAUCUUUGGGAGGUAUUGGAAUUUUGCACCUGGAAAAAGUGACAAAUACUAUUUUACUGUCUGUAACUUUUCUGAUGUUUAGCUGAUGCUGAUUACAAAUAGACAUGAGCCCUUUUGAUACAGACUGAAGGUAGUAGCCAAGUUGAUGAUCUGGACCAAAAGAACCUGUUUGGUUUCUCUCCCAGAUUGAUUGCUACUUAAGUUAAAUAUGUUUAUGAUGGAGAUACUAAGGUAUCAAGUAUACUGUAAGGUUUAAAACAAGUAUUUUUUGCCUUUGGAAAGAAUAAAUUUUCUUAGAUAUUAAUCUUAUAGAACAAGAACACUUUGAGAAGCUAUGAACAUGAUUUGGUCACUGUUGGAUGUUCCUGAGACAGAAGUAAUGGUCUAAACUUGAGUGUUUUAUAAAAGUUGCAGAAUGUUUCUUCAAACUUGGUACAAGAAAUUUUGCAUUUGCUAAUAUCAAAACUUACAAAAGUAUUGCUACACAUUAAUCUGAAAGGUUUAGCUUUUUCUUCUCAAAUGUCAAGUGAGAAGUGCUCAUCUGAAUAUAACCUCUCAGCAGUACUGCACCAGCAAAAUUUCUUCGGGAAGACAACAGAGACAGAAGACUGCAAGUUCAAAUGGCUCAUUCUGAAUACCAAAAUUUGCAGCCCCAAAUACUGGUGGGACUAAUGGAGGACCCAGGAUAUCAUCUGGCUUUUACUGCAUCAGUGUAUUACAGCUGGGAUAACGCAUACAUGCACAGCAGAACUGUAAGCAAAAUCUAUGUCUCUGAUGUGGUAAAUAUUACUGAUUCAGCAAUACAGUCUCUGCCCCCUCCCUCCACCCCCAAAGUGCUUGAUAUACCCCCAUAUGAAUUUAUAUAUACUGUAGGCUAACAUCAGUGUAACUUGUUUGAUUUCUUAAGUCAGGAUAGUUAAUCUACAGGAAAACUGCAAGUAAACAGACCGGGCUAACUCUAUGUGUGUUCUCUAGCGAGUGCUGGUCUUCUGAAACCAGUUCUUUAUAUAUCUGGUGGAUAUUUUUGUGGCUUUUCAUGAAGAGCUGAUGUUUCUGACAUCUUUAUGCAGAUCAUGGGUACAUUUUGUCCCAGAUUUUUCUCGUGUUUCAGAUAAAAAAAGGAGGAGAGCAGUGUGCUUAGGAUACUCUUGAGGCCAGAGUUACUGUUGGUGUAAAAGCAGGCAUUACUGAAAAGUCACUUUGAAAAACAUGAAAUGUAGUAAAAUGAUUCAAAUAUGAUUCUUCCAAAUUCACCCCCUCCCCCUUUUCUUCCCCUCCAGGGAACUGGUUACUAAGAGAAAUGCCAGACUGGUAUAAAGGAAUUAACUUGUCUAAGGGAAUUGUAUUGAUGAACUCCAAGGGCUCACCAGUGAGUGGGAUGGGAGGGUCAUGUUUUCCUGGCAGGCCCUGGCUGCAGAGGAGGUAUCGCGUCUAAGGCAGCAGGACAGUGUCUUCUCUUUUCCAGAGUUCUGUCCUGACAGCUCCCUAGCCAUAAGCAAGGGCACUCUGCGCUGUAUCAAAGAGUAGGAUAGGCAAAAUGAGGGAGCAAGCCAGGAAUUUAAAAGUUGGUGAGAACAAAGAGCUGUUUGGCUGUUGAGUUGCAAGCAGACUUGGGUAUCGCUGCCAGCAGAGGCAGGGGGGCUGUAGAGGUGCUCCAGGAAAUAGGUCCUUUUGGCCCAUGCACUGAAGAGCUGAAAACUUGCGGUGAAUGCAGCAAGAAGAGCGGCUCUGCCUGUUCAGGAGGCCAAAAGAGAGAUGGAUCCUGAGAAAACAACUGUUUAGGGUGCUGCAUCAUGUGCUGGUUUUGUGCUUUAACCUACUCUCUGUUGGCAAGUCUUGAAAAUACCUAGAUCAUCACUAAAAAUAACAGCCCUUAAGCUUUUAGAUCCGUCAAAACAAUUACUAUUGCAAGCCAUAAAUAGUAUUGCAGUUACUGCAGGAUAGUCAACAUUGGCUGCAAUUAGGAACUAUGCUUUAGUAUUUCUUAAUGCUUUUUUCUUUUAAAAAAAAUCCAUGUACACACAGGAGUCAUGCACACAAAAUGACAUUAAACUCCCAGAGUGAGGACAGAAGCCUGAUAUAGGGCAAGAUUUCAGUGUGACUUCUCAAGAUUUCUGAAAUGUCUUGAGAUGAUAAACCUGUCCCUCUGAAGAUAAGGCAGGCAGAUCCAUAAAUAGAAAAUACUUGAAACACAGCUAAUACAGUUUUUUUUCUUAUGAUUACUUGUUCUCAGAGUCUACAACAUGCACAUCAUUGCUGCUGCUACCAAAGGCAUAUUACGGGAAGAGUGCAGGAGGAGGUGUAGGUUGGUGUCAUAACUGACUUCCUACAGCAUUAUCCCGAGAUCGCAGUGUCACAAGUUAGAUGCAUCAUAAGCCUUUGAUUGAAAACUUCCACUUUAAAUAUUCAGAGGGUUAUUUUAGAGGGAGUUUGGGCACUUCUAUUUUUAGUGAUUUGAGUAGAAAUUGUGGUAACAUUUUUGUUAAAGCUGCCCCUUGAGCGUUCAGUUUGCAGGUACCAAGCUACUUUUGGUAUGGUAUUCUUAGAAACUGGUCCUGUUCUCCAGAGUGCCAAGUGCCUGCAGUUUUCGGGUACUGUUUCUUCCCUCAUAUGAUCUUGUGUGGCUCUUCUGUAUUGUAAUUACUCUUUUGGGGUUUGGAGGUUUUGGUUAAGUUCAAUACCAUUCACUAUGAACUCAAAGAACUUCUUGAUAUAUCUAAAGUGUAUGGUCCAGUUGUAGCUCACCAGAGCCCCAAGAGGAGGAAAAAAGCGUUUGCAGCAGCAUCACUGUCUGGCAGGUUUACCAAGAGAUGCAUUGACUGACAUGGAUUAACCAGAUCUGCCUAGAUCUGGAGCACUGUCUGACCAUAUUUAUUAAAAAUUUAAAAAAAAACCCACAAAACCAAACUACAGCUUUGAGCUUCAUAGUGUACAUUCUCUGACGACACUGUCUAAAAUUGUCUGUGAUUGGGGGAUUCAGGUAUGUGUUUACAGAGGCUCCAAACAGCAGCUACUUUAACUCAGUGCAGAUCAAGAACACAUCUGUCACAGUACCUAAAAAAUAGCUAGGUAUGCAAUAUCAGAGGCUCUUCUAUCCCUAAAUGGCACCAAAGAGAGCAGCUGCAUAUAGUGAUUUGUUAUAAUACUGAACACAUUUACUACACUCAUUUCUAUCAAUUUAUUUUGUAUAUAUCAACAGCUUUUUAUAUGCAUUUUUCUUAAUUAUGUAACUGUCAUGACAUGUAAUGAAGCUGCAAGUUGUAGUUAGUUUUAAUGCUGAUUAAAACUGGUGUUUGGCUGUUUGUUUUCUGCAGCAAUUACUUGAAUCUUGUUUCCAUUAGGUAGUGAAGUCUGAUAAUGUUUACAGGAUUGCUUGCUUUGUUUUGGGGGGGGGGGUUCCCCAUCUUUCUUCCCAUCCCCUGCCCCAAGAAACAGCACAUGCUCAGCAGUCAAGCAGGUGUGUUGGGGAUGAAGCAUUGGGAUCACCUCUAUUGGCACCAAAGCAUUAACGGUGACAGGCACAUUCCCUUCCGUUCACAUUGCUUAGCUGACAACUUACACACUUAGCAAGUUCCUCUCCGAUUUCUCCUGUCCCUUAACCUGUUACUAUCACCUUUAUUGUGAGAAACUUAAAUCUUUCUGAACAAUUUACAAUCAUAAAACUAUCAUCACAGAAACAGGCAGCAAACCUGCUCUUAAAUCUGCCCCCUCUCCCCGUCCCCUUUUUAACUGAGAUGAAUUAAAUAUCGCUGGGUUAUCUCAGCAAUUAUUUUUGCAUUUGCCAGCAAGGGUCAUCAACAUUUGCACUAAUCACAAUGUCCCAGUUGUUCUGCUUCCAUGUAGUCAUUUUUAAUUGUGCUACCUAAACUUGUAAUGAUGAGCUGUAUUUAAGUUUGAGGUGAAGUGUAAAAGAUAUAUGUAAUAACGACACAUUUACUGUAUUUUUGGUAUGUUACAGAUAGGACUAGUCCUAUGCACAGAGAAAACAUGUUGCCAUUUAUAGUUUAAUACUUGAAGUAACUUUUUAAAAUGGGCUUUUAUAAAUGAAUUAAUUAAAUACAGAAUCACAAUGCUUUGCCUGGAAGUUCCUUCAUGUUUUAAUUGUAUUGUGCAAUUUCCCCAUAUGUAUACUUUUCCAUAAAUGUUAUCUAUCUUAAGCCAUUUAUAACCAUUAAAAGUGCAUUCAAGAUUUUGUACAUCAGUGUUCAGACCUGUUCAUACUUCUCUGAAGUAUAGUUCAUGUUUAAAUAAAAAAAUUGUACCAUUUUAGGCCUCUUUUCCAAAGUGACAAAAUAUGAAUGGACUUGACACUUGAAUUCAUGACUGAAUGCAACAUCAACUUAAUAAAAGUACGUGAAAGAAUGUGAAAA